This 73-nucleotide transfer RNA is filed under the name Camelus bactrianus (Bactrian camel). It matches the Rfam family "tRNA". Rfam says of the family: Transfer RNA (tRNA) molecules are approximately 80 nucleotides in length. Their secondary structure includes four short double-helical elements and three loops (D, anti-codon, and T loops). RNAcentral also lists the same sequence under 2 other names. The record is from Rfam by way of RNAcentral. Lineage: Eukaryota; Metazoa; Chordata; Mammalia; Artiodactyla; Camelidae.
AGGAAUAUGGCUCAAAUGAUAGAGUGCAUGCUUAGCAUGCACAAGAUCCUGGGUUCAAUCCCCAGUACUACCU